AUUGGAUCUGUAAUUAAUCUUAUCAACUCACUCUAAAGCUGUGGAUUCAUUUAUUUGGCUCUUCUAUAGGAAAAGUGAGUUUCCACUAGUAAGAGCAACAAGCAAGUGUAAUGAUACCUCCAGGUAGUGUUAAAUUUCAUUGGCCUCUAUUGUUUUAUCAUACUCCCCCCCCCCCCCAAUUUGUAAUUUCCCUAGUUUCUCUUCUCCAUUAUCUUGUAUAGUGGGUAAUACACUGAGAGAGUUUGGCGGGUUGUUUUAAAGGGCAAACAGGUGCCAGUGCUCUAAAAUGCUGUUUCCAGUCCUCAGAAAAUGCACUGUAAGGCAUUUAGCAAAUUAUAAAGCCACUACCUCUUAAUUUAACUAGAGAGGUGGAGAGAAUAAUAUUUAUCCCUUACAAAUAAUAUUUAUCCCUUGUCUUAGAAAGUUCAGUCCAACCAAUUGACUAGAGUUAACAAUACUGAUCGCCUACUUAUAUAAAACAGAUUGAACACUUGUAGUUCGUAUUGAUCUUGUGGACUCAGGUCCUCAGAAAUUAAAUAACUUUGGUAAACUAGCUUAGUAUCAAAUCAAAUCUAUCUUAUCCAUUUAGCAAUUUGACCAGAUCUUUUUUUGUGUUUUCCCCUGAAGAUAAAGAAGUCUAAGCUGAGUUUUUCAAGCCUUGGGAGGAGAUCAGGCUUUCAUCAGGCCUCAGAAAGAAUCCUCUGCGAUUAUGAAGAUAGAGAGAAACGUGCUGCCAAAAAGCCAAACCACGAUGAAAGUGCAUGUUUGCAAUCUCCUCAUUUCUUACAUCCCACAAAUGUUGGACGCUCAAAAACUUUUUUAUUUUUACGGUGUAUUCUAAGCUGGGAUAUGGGAGUGAAUGUGUACCAAGAUUUCUUUUAUUACAAAGUGGAUGAGAAGGAAAUUUAAUAAUGCUAUAACUGCUUUAAAAAAAAUGUCAGCUUUGAUGAAGUCAAUGGCAAUUAAACAUUACACUUACAAAUAAAUUGAACAGAGCAUCUGGCUAGCCUGUAAGU
This 1016-nucleotide long non-coding RNA is filed under the name Vulpes vulpes (red fox). RNAcentral describes it as "lncRNA (ENSVVUG00000010201.1)". The record is from RNAcentral. Lineage: Eukaryota; Metazoa; Chordata; Mammalia; Carnivora; Canidae.